GGGCUUGUGGUUUAGUGGUAUAAUACUCCCUUAGCAUCUGCGGCUCACGGCCCGGUGAAAAUUGGGAGUGGUCCGGGGUUCGAUUCCCCGCGAGUCCA
Xylaria palmicola is the source of this 98-nucleotide non-coding RNA. The record is from the annotation of a GenBank genome assembly. Lineage: Eukaryota; Fungi; Ascomycota; Sordariomycetes; Xylariales; Xylariaceae.